RNAcentral lists this ribosomal RNA (274 nucleotides) under uncultured bacterium. RNAcentral describes it as "partial 16S ribosomal RNA". It matches the Rfam family "Archaeal small subunit ribosomal RNA", at positions 473 to 747 of the family's 1478-position model. The record is from RNAcentral.
AAACCAGCACCUCAAGUGGUCAGGAUGAUUAUUGGGCCUAAAGCAUCCGUAGCCUGCUUUGUAAGUUCUCGGUUAAAUCCAUAUGCUCAACAUAUGGGCUGCCGGGAAUACUGCACAGCUAGGGAGUGGGAGAGGUAGACGGUACUCGGUAGGAAGGGGUAAAAUCCUUUGAUCUAUUGAUGACCACCUGUGGCGAAGGCGGUCUACCAGAACACGUCCGACGGUGAGGGAUGAAAGCUGGGGGAGCAAACCGGAUUAGAUACCCGUGUAGUCC